CCCACCUUUACCUCCGAAAGUGCUGAGAUUACAGGCAUGAGCCACCUCACCCAGCCAGGAUCCUGUUUAUUAUAUUUACUCUAGUAUCCUUAGUGCCUGGUACAUAGUAGAUGCUCAAUAAUAUCUUUCGAAUGAAUGAAUUCAUGAAUGAAAGGUUAAAAUGCAAAGAGAUUUAGGGUCCAAGUGGAGGGUUCCUAGGGUCUUCCUAGUUGAGUAGGAGACAGAGUGACCAAAGAGCAGGUGGAAGAUGGAGGUGAGGUAGAGGAUUUGCGGAGAAUGGAGAACAUCUGGGAAGGGGAGAGGAAGGAUGAGGAAUUUGACAAGAGAAAACUGGAGCAUAAAUAUGUUCUUACACACCUAAUCCAGGCCAUCUGGUGUCGAGGCGACAAGAAUGGAGACCAUGGAGGAGUGGAGUGGACUGGGCUGUGACCUGCCAAGGGGGGAAUGGCAUGAUCACAUCUGUCUCUCAGCUGUCUUCAGGAUGCCAUGAAACGACACACACACAAUAAGGGCACCAUCAAUGUGAGUUGCUCUUUUUUAUUAUUAUUGGCUAUAGCUGAAAAAAAAAAUAAUGGUUAAUCUGUUAAUAAUAUACCUGUGGCCUAGAAAAAGUAUGAAAAAGAAUUCAAGAGUGGACAAAUGUUUUCUUCAAGUGCCGGGUAAAAUAUUUUAAGUGAGUUCUGUUGCAGCUUCUCAAUUCCUCUGUUGCCGUGUAAAAGCGCCCAUAGACAAUGCAUUAAGAAACAGGCAGGCGGCCAGAUGCGGUGGCUCACGCCUGUAAUUAAUCCCAGCACUUUGGGAGGCUGAGGUGGGCAGAAUGCUUGAAUCUAGGAGUUCAAGACCAGUCUGAGCAACAUGGCGAAACCCUAUCUCUACAAAAAAUACAAAAAAUUAGCUGGGCAUGGUGGCAUGCACAAGUAGUCCCAGCUACUUGGGAGGAUGAGAUGGGAGGAUUGCCUGAGCCAGGGGAGG
RNAcentral lists this long non-coding RNA (972 nucleotides) under Homo sapiens (human). Its description in RNAcentral is "HSALNT0228161". Lineage: Eukaryota; Metazoa; Chordata; Mammalia; Primates; Hominidae. The record is from RNAcentral.